RNAcentral lists this ribosomal RNA (253 nucleotides) under uncultured bacterium. RNAcentral describes it as "partial 16S ribosomal RNA". It matches the Rfam family "Bacterial small subunit ribosomal RNA", at positions 524 to 776 of the family's 1533-position model. The record is from RNAcentral.
UACGUAGGUGGCGAGCGUUGUCCGGAUUUACUGGGCGCAAAGGGCGUGCAGGCGGUUUGUUAAGUGCAGGGUGAAAGCUCCCGGCUCAACUGGGAGAGGUCCUUGCAUACUGGCGAACUCGAGGGAGGCAGAGGAAAGUGGAAUUCCCGGUGUAGUGGUGAAAUGCGCAGAUAUCAGGAGGAACACCGGUGGCGAAGGCGGUUCUCUGGGCAUUACCUGACGCUGAGGAGCGAAAGCCAGGGGAGCAAACGGG